Molecule: ribosomal RNA, 508 nt
Filed under: uncultured Hygrocybe
Lineage: Eukaryota; Fungi; Basidiomycota; Agaricomycetes; Agaricales; Hygrophoraceae
Description: bacterial SSU rRNA
Rfam family: Eukaryotic small subunit ribosomal RNA
Source: RNAcentral
AGCAGCCGCGGUAAUUCCAGCUCCAAUAGCGUAUAUUAAAGUUGUUGCAGUUAAAAAGCUCGUAGUUGAACUUCAGACCUGGCUGGGUAGUCCGCCUUAACGGUGUGUACUGUCUGGCUGGGCCUUACCUCUUGGUGAACCGGCGUGCCCUUAACUGGUGCGCGUCGGGAAACCGAGACGUUUACCUUGAGAAAAUUAGAGUGUUCAAAGCAGGCUUAUGCUCGAAUACAUUAGCAUGGAAUAACAAAGUAGGACGUGCGGUUCUAUUUUGUUGGUUUCUAGAGUCGCCGUAAUGAUUAAUAGGGAUAGUUGGGGGCAUUGGUAUUGAGUCGCUAGAGGUGAAAUUCUUGGAUUUAUUGAAGACUAACUACUGCGAAAGCAUUUGCCAAGGAUGUUUUCAUUAAUCAGGAACGAAAGUUAGGGGAUCGAAGACGAUCAGAUACCGUCGUAGUCUUAACCAUAAACUAUGCCGACUAGGGAUCGGACGAUGUUAACUUUUCUUGACUCG